CAACGCUGGCGGCGUGCUUACACAUGCAAGUCGAACGAUGAAGCCCAGCUUGCUGGGUGGAUUAGUGGCGAACGGGUGAGUAACACGUGAGUAACCUGCCCUUAACUCUGGGAUAAGCCUGGGAAACUGGGUCUAAUACCGGAUAGGAGCGCCUACCGCAUGGUGGGUGUUGGAAAGAUUUAUCGGUUUUGGAUGGACUCGCGGCCUAUCAGCUUGUUGGUGAGGUAAUGGCUCACCAAGGCGACGACGGGUAGCCGGCCUGAGAGGGUGACCGGCCACACUGGGACUGAGACACGGCCCAGACUCCUACGGGAGGCAGCAGUGGGGAAUAUUGCACAAUGGGCGAAAGCCUGAUGCAGCGACGCCGCGUGAGGGAUGACGGCCUUCGGGUUGUAAACCUCUUUCAGUAGGGAAGAAGCGAAAGUGACGGUACCUGCAGAAGAAGCACCGGCUAACUACGUGCCAGCAGCCGCGGUAAUACGUAGGGUGCGAGCGUUAUCCGGAAUUAUUGGGCGUAAAGAGCUCGUAGGCGGUUUGUCGCGUCUGUCGUGAAAGUCCGGGGCUUAACCCCGGAUCUGCGGUGGGUACGGGCAGACUAGAGUGCAGUAGGGGAGACUGGAAUUCCUGGUGUAGCGGUGGAAUGCGCAGAUAUCAGGAGGAACACCGAUGGCGAAGGCAGGUCUCUGGGCUGUAACUGACGCUGAGGAGCGAAAGCAUGGGGAGCGAACAGGAUUAGAUACCCUGGUAGUCCAUGCCGUAAACGUUGGGCACUAGGUGUGGGGACCAUUCCACGGUUUCCGCGCCGCAGCUAACGCAUUAAGUGCCCCGCCUGGGGAGUACGGCCGCAAGGCUAAAACUCAAAGGAAUUGACGGGGGCCCGCACAAGCGGCGGAGCAUGCGGAUUAAUUCGAUGCAACGCGAAGACCCUUACCAAGGCUUGACAUGUUCUCGAUCGCCGUAGAGAUACGGUUUCCCCUUUUGGGGCGGGUUCACAGGUGG
Molecule: ribosomal RNA, 999 nt
Filed under: Micrococcus sp.
Lineage: Bacteria; Bacillati; Actinomycetota; Actinomycetes; Micrococcales; Micrococcaceae
Description: bacterial SSU rRNA
Rfam family: Bacterial small subunit ribosomal RNA
Source: RNAcentral